This 377-nucleotide ribosomal RNA is filed under the name uncultured cyanobacterium. RNAcentral describes it as "bacterial SSU rRNA". It matches the Rfam family "Bacterial small subunit ribosomal RNA", at positions 376 to 770 of the family's 1533-position model. The record is from RNAcentral. Lineage: Bacteria; Bacillati; Cyanobacteriota.
CGAAAGCCUGACGGAGCAAUACCGCGUGCGGGAGGACGCUUUUUGGAGUGUAAACCGCUUUUCUCAAGGAAGAUGAUGACGGUACUUGAGGAAUCAGCAUCGGCUAACUUCGUGCCAGCAGCCGCGGUAAUACGGAGGAUGCGAGCGUUAUCCGGAAUCAUUGGGCGUAAAGAGUCUGUAGGUGGCACUUCAAGUCUGCUGUCAAAGACCGAAGCUUAACUUCGGGCAGGCGGUGGAAACUGAAGAGCUAGAGUAAAGCAGGGGUAGAGGGAAUUCCCAGUGUAGCGGUGAAAUGCGUAGAGAUUGGGAAGAACACCAGUGGCGAAGGCGCUCUACUGGGCUAAAACUGACACUGAGAGACGAAAGCUAGGGUAGCG